Long non-coding RNA from Xiphophorus couchianus (Monterrey platyfish), 365 nucleotides. RefSeq lists it as uncharacterized. Lineage: Eukaryota; Metazoa; Chordata; Actinopteri; Cyprinodontiformes; Poeciliidae. The transcript is spliced from 2 exons. The record is from RefSeq and is a predicted model, not a curated record.
GAAAAUAUUAGUCUUGGAUUUUAACAUUGAAUUCCUAGCUCUAUUUUAGCUCAACAUUUGGAGACUUUAGCUUUUGAAAAAAGCAAGACAAAAGUAAAAUGUGAGUUGACCUAAAUAUUGUUUUCUCUGUAUUCAGGAAGGUAAAGACAAAAAAUUCCUCAUCACCCAACUGCAGUAUUGGUAUGAGGAAAAUAAUCCAAAUUCUAGUAAGAGACAAAGGUGAACUGGGUUCACUUCCUUCUUGGAAACCUUUCUGAGGAAGAUGAUACCUCCAUGUUGUCAUGCACGCUUGUCAUUAAAUAGUGUUAUCAUCACUGAGAUGUCUAGACACUGAGAACUUCCCUCAUAAAUACCAUAGAAAAAAA